Molecule: ribosomal RNA, 540 nt
Filed under: fungal sp. E16126A
Lineage: Eukaryota; Fungi
Description: eukaryotic LSU rRNA
Rfam family: 5.8S ribosomal RNA (bases 189-342)
Source: RNAcentral
GGAAACGAGUGAGGGGCCUCUGGGUCAACCUCCCACCCGUGUCUAUCGUACCUUGUUGCUUCGGCGGGCCCGCCGUUUCGACGGCCGCCGGGGAGGCCUUGCGCCCCCGGGCCCGCGCCCGCCGAAGACCCCAACAUGAACGCUGUUCUGAAAGUAUGCAGUCUGAGUUGAUUAUCGUAAUCAGUUAAAACUUUCAACAACGGAUCUCUUGGUUCCGGCAUCGAUGAAGAACGCAGCGAAAUGCGAUAAGUAAUGUGAAUUGCAGAAUUCAGUGAAUCAUCGAGUCUUUGAACGCACAUUGCGCCCCCUGGUAUUCCGGGGGGCAUGCCUGUCCGAGCGUCAUUGCUGCCCUCAAGCACGGCUUGUGUGUUGGGCCCCCGUCCCCCUCUCCCGGGGGACGGGCCCGAAAGGCAGCGGCGGCACCGCGUCCGGUCCUCGAGCGUAUGGGGCUUUGUCACCUGCUCUGUAGGCCCGGCCGGCGCCAGCCGACACCCAACUUUAUUUUUCUAAGGUUGACCUCGGAUCAGGUAGGGAUACCCG